This 550-nucleotide ribosomal RNA is filed under the name uncultured bacterium. RNAcentral describes it as "bacterial SSU rRNA". It matches the Rfam family "Bacterial small subunit ribosomal RNA", at positions 355 to 896 of the family's 1533-position model. The record is from RNAcentral.
UAGGGAAUCUUCGGCAAUGGACGGAAGUCUGACCGAGCAACGCCGCGUGAGUGAAGAAGGUUUUCGGAUCGUAAAGCUCUGUUGUAAGAGAAGAACGAGUGUGAGAGUGGAAAGUUCACACUGUGACGGUAUCUUACCAGAAAGGGACGGCUAACUACGUGCCAGCAGCCGCGGUAAUACGUAGGUCCCGAGCGUUGUCCGGAUUUAUUGGGCGUAAAGCGAGCGCAGGCGGUUAGAUAAGUCUGAAGUUAAAGGCUGUGGCUUAACCAUAGUACGCUUUGGAAACUGUUUAACUUGAGUGCAAGAGGGGAGAGUGGAAUUCCAUGUGUAGCGGUGAAAUGCGUAGAUAUAUGGAGGAACACCGGUGGCGAAAGCGGCUCUCUGGCUUGUAACUGACGCUGAGGCUCGAAAGCGUGGGGAGCAAACAGGAUUAGAUACCCUGGUAGUCCACGCUGUAAACGAUGAGUGCUAGGUGUUAGACCCUUUCCGGGGUUUAGUGCCGCAGCUAACGCAUUAAGCACUCCGCCUGGGGAGUACGACCGCAAGGUUG